This 9845-nucleotide long non-coding RNA is filed under the name Marmota monax (woodchuck). The record is from RNAcentral. Lineage: Eukaryota; Metazoa; Chordata; Mammalia; Rodentia; Sciuridae.
UAGGACUUUUAUUGAGAUUGCACUGAAUCUGUAUAUUAAUUUGAGGAGAAGAGACAUCUUAACAAUUCUGAGUCCCAUGAAUACCAUUUGUCUUCCACUUCUUUGAGUCUUCCUUAGUUUUCUUGGCAAUAUUUUAUAGGUGGUAAGUGUACAAAUAUUUUACAUAUGUGGAUAGAGUAUUCAUAAAUAUUUCAUACUUUGGUACUACUGUAAAUGGCAUUAUUUCUUAAAUAGCAUUUAUAAUUCUUAUAUAUUCACUGAACCAUCAAAACAAAUAUUUAAAAAUAGAUAUUGAGGAAUCUUUUUGUUUGAAAGUAUAUACUAUUGUAGGAUACUGUUUGAUACUUAAUAGGCAUGGACAUGUAUUUCCAUACCAUCUUCAGAAAUCAUUAGCCAUACAUUGAAAUAGACAGAAAAAAUGUCCCAGAGACAAUAUUGCAAAUCAUUUUCUGAAAUAUUGACCGCUAAAAUAAUAUAGUUUAGUAGCUUUCAACUUUAUGUAUGCUAUAUUUGAAUCUGUGAAAAAUGUGAAGUUGUAAUUUUUUCCCCCCAGUAAAUUCACCUCAGAAAAUUCUUGGAAUCAUGGAUGAUGAGGAGGCUGAGUCUAUGUAUUUGUCUAUAUAACUUUGUAUAUUGCUGAAUCUUCUAGGAAUGUGUAUUGUAAGGUGUCCUUAAAGUUAAUUACUGAGCAUUAUGUCUGCCCUAUAUAGUUCCUAGCAUAUUUUAGGAUCAAGAUGAGGGUGUUGUUUCCUUUUUCUUGUACUUCCUAUCUUUGGAUACUUAGGUUUCUUUUAUUCUUUUGCAAUAAAAGUAACAUCACAAUGAAUAUAUAUUACACACACACACACACACACACACACACAUAUAUAUAUAUAUAUAUAUAUAUAUAUAUAUGUAUAUAUAUUCAUAUUUGUAUCUAUACCACAAUUUUCUGUUAUUGACAGUACACAUACAUGCACUUUUUUUAAUUUCUGGAAAUUGGUUUAGUGAGUCAAAGAAUAAAAGCAUAUACAAUUUUUGGAGAUAUUAUCAAAUUUCCCUUCAUGGCAGUUACAUUAGUUUCCUGUGUCUACUGUAACAAAUCACCACAAACUUAGUUGUUUGAAGCAAGAUAAAUUAAUUUUCUCGGAGAUCUGGAAAGAGAAGAAGUCAGAAAUUUGUUUUAUUGGCCAAAAUCAAGGUGUCAGCAGAGCCAUGCUCUGGAGGCUUCAUGGAAGAAUCUGCACUGUACCUUUUCCAGCUUCUCAUAGCUGCCAGCAUUCCUUGGCCUAUUGCUGCCCCCUCACCAAUUUCUGCCUGCAUGGUCAUACUGUCUUCUCCUUUUCUACGAAUGUCAAGCCUCCCUCUCUCCUCUCUCUUAAGGACACUUGUGACUAUUUAUAAGACCCACCCAACAAUCUCAUAUGAGCUUCCUAUUUCAUCAUGCUUAGCUUAAUCACAUUUUGAAGAUCUUUUAUCAGGUAAGGUAAGACUUACAGGUUCAACAAAUUGUAAUUGAUAGCAAUGGGAGCCAUUGUUAAUCAUUUUAUGGUAAUCAUAUCAUUUUGAUCUCAAUGGGCAGUGUAGAAAGUACUUUUUUCAUUUCACAUCCUCACCAACUGAAUGUAUUGACAGACUUUUCAAUCUUUCUCAAUUUAAUAUUGAGAAAUCAUAUCUUACUGCAGUUUUAGUUGUAUCUCUCUUAUUUAAAGAAAGUUUGAGGGGCCAGGGAUGUAGCUCCAAGGUAGUGUGUUUGCCUUACAUGCAUGAGGCCCUGGGUUUGAUGCCCCAGCACACCCCCAAAAAAGAAAGUUAGUUUGUGCCUCCUUUUGUAAUUUUAAAGAUAAUUUAAAUUUCUUGCUAUUUAUACCUUUUAAAUAUUGUUGAUGGUAGUAUUGGAUUUUUAAUGUCUCUAUAUCAGCUUUUAUAUAGAUAGGAAAUCAACACAUUUUGGAGGUGUUAGCUGUCAAUUUUCCCCCAUUGUCUUUCUAGUGGCUAUCAUAUUUUUGCUAUGCAGUAUUGUUAUUUUUAUUUUAUAUAGUCAAUUAUAUCAAUAUUUUUACUUACAAUCUUGGGUUUCAAGUCAUAGUUAGGAAAGUUCUCCCCACCUCCAACUUGUAGAUGCCAACAGGGCUGGGCUCUCUAUAUAGGCUUUAGGGAAGAAUCUCUGCUUUGCCCCUUCUAGUUUCCAGAUUAUUCUAACAAUUGUAAGAGUUUUAGUUUUGAUAUUUAUAUCUAUACCAUUUGGAAUUUAUCCUAAUUAAAAACUUAGAAAUUGGUCUACUUUUGCUUCUUUUACCCAUACAGCUAUCUAGGUAUCACCAUAGCACACACUGCCACUGAUUUGAAAUGCUAUUUGGAUCAUAUUCUAAAUUUCCAAAUAUAAUUUAGCCCUUUGAAAUUGACCACAUAUUAAUUUCUUGUUGCCCAUAGAACUCCUGAAACAACUCCAGUGGAAUAGUAUGUGUUAUAAGUUCAAAUAUAUAUAUAUAUAUAUAUAUAUAUAUAUAUAUAUAUAUAUAUUCAUUCCAGGGCUUGAGACAAGCUCAGAUUAUACUGUCCUGCUAUCGUAGCCUCAUGAGCCCUACUCAGCAACCCCUCUUAGUGAUGAAGAGGAGAUAAGAGAAGAAAUUCUGCCCUUUUUGCCAAGAUACCUUGGUGUAGGGCCACAUGCGAUGGUUGAUCCCUGAAGCAUGAGUGGGAUCAGGAAGUAGCUCAGCUGUUGCCCUUGGGACCAGUAAGCUAUAAAGAAGGAAAGUAUGUAAACUAAACUGCUUAAAACAAAUACUCUAUUUCAUCUCCUUUAAUCUUAACUGCUACAGAGGUUUCCUGUUAUUUAUUAUCAUUAUUCAUAUCAGGGUACUGGCUUCAGGAGAGUUUAAGUAAAUUAGGAAAACCCUUUGUGAUCUUCCUUUGGGCAGGUUCUCCUAAAUUGUCAUAAAGUCUUCCAAUUUGGUCUUCAUGCCCUCUGGGCUCUGAAUGAUUUAAUCUUCCUGGGGGUGGACAUUACAUGUUCUUGGGAUGUUCAACCAUAUUUAAAAAGUAUGGUCUGUUACAUUUUUAAGUCACAAUAUUAUUGAAAUUGUAAAAAAAAAUCUUCCUUAGCAGACAUUAUAUGAAAACUUGGGAGAAACUGGUAAACUACACUUCAGAUACUGGGUUAGUGUUCAUGGUUUGUAAAAUAUACUCACAGAUUUGCAAGCAAGUUCAACAGAUAAUUCACAUAAAAAUAUACAUAAAUGGGAUCUAUCUCCAUUUUGCCUUUUCUUUUAUAAUGAAAGGAGUAUAUUUUGCAAAGAAUUAUAUGUCUUAAAACAAUUUGUUUAAUAUGAUAUGGGUUCUUCUUGAAAAAUUCAUAUGUAUGUUAAAAUAGUUUCAUCUGCUGUUGACCCCAAUCUACAUGUCAUUCACUGAUUUCUCUGAAAGAGGGAUAUUUUAGUGUAUGUUAAGGUGUUCACACUGUGGAGGGGUCCCUCUCAGAGAACAAGGCCUUCACUCUCCAUUACCCCACCCCUACAUAGGCUUCCCAGUCCUUUUUCUUUCAUGCUCUCAUAGUCAUCCCCACUCCAGGACAUUAUGUACACAACUGCCCAGACAUGAUGCAGGUAGUUCAUCCUUUCUGCCACUUCGUUAUAGCCCCACCACUGCUACCUGGUGUUUCAAGUUAUAGAUGCCCCUGAGCAUGUCUUCACAGUCUUCUUUUACACCUACUAGGUUUCUGUGGCAGAAAUAGAAUCAGUCUGUACAUAGAUUCAUAAGGUGAUUUUUUCUAAGUUUUUUUUUUUUUUUUUUUUUUUAAUUGGUGCAUUAUAGUUGUUCAGAUGGUGGAAUUUGUUAUGUAUUCUUACUGGCACACAUAUAACAGUAUAAUUUGGCCAAUAUAAUUCCCCAGUAUUUUCCCUUUCUCUCCCUUCCACUAUCCCCCUGUUCCCUUUCUGCUACUGAUCUCCCUUGGAUUCAUAUUCUGUCUUCAUUGCAGUUUUUGUAUUUGUUUUUCCUUGCACCCACAGCUUUGUAUAGAGGUUUGAUGAUGGAGGAACAUUGGUGCCACCUGGUGACAGAAUUCUGAACUGCAACUUGAACACCCUUAAGUAGGUAGAUGGGAGGGAGAGGCUGUGGCCCAAGACUACCUACAGAACUUUCUGGAAGUUUUUGUGGAAAGGGGGACAUUCCCAGGAUGCAAGGAUACAGACAGCCUUCAGAUGGAAAGUUCUGAAGAGAAAGCUCUAUGUGAGAGGAAUAAAAAGAUCAUUUAAAGUUCUAUGCUUUGAGAUCUCUUCAUGAAUAGCUAGAGAUUUAUAUAAGAAUAAAUAGAACCAGGACAUUUAUUACCUUAGUAACCUGCCUUUACUCUUUUUUAAAUUUAUUUUUUUAGUUGUAGUUGGACACAAUACCUUUAUUUAUUUUUAUGUGGUGCUGAGGAUCACAUCCAGGGCCUCUCACAUGCUAGGCAAGUGCUCUACCACUGAGCCACAACCCCAGCCCCUGCCUUUACUCUUAUUAUGACCAUUUUUUCCCAUUUCAGGGAUGUUAUACUGUACCCAGCUCUUUUGUAAGCAUUUUUAUACAUAGUUCCUGAAAGUAUCCUUUCAAACCACAGGAAAAUAUAAAAUUUUGUACUAAUAUAAAGUAUUCAAGAUAUGAUUAAUUUAUAUUCCUUAUAUUACAGUGAAUAAGUACCUGUAUCUCUAUGUUAUCAAACUUUAAAGAUGUGGAUGCAAGGAGGAAAAACCUACUAAAACUCUCAUAGAAGUCAGCAAAUGAAUUGCAGGGAGAUCAGUAGUGUGUUUUAGUAGCACAUUUCUAUGAUAAAAUUUGAAAUUGCAAGAUAUUUUCAACAUUUUUAUAUAAACCAGUGUUUCCUGAUAACAUGCCCCAAAUUUUAUUUCAUCAGUACCUGUACUGAUGUUUGUAUGCACACUAAUAAAAAUUGAUCAAUCUUAUUAGAUAGUAUAUAUAUAUAUUUUUUUAAUAUUUAUUUAUUUAUUUUAGUUUUCGGCGGGCACAAUGCCAGGCGAGCGCGCUACCGCUUGAGCCACAUCCCCAGCCCCCCCUUUUUUUUUAAAUAUUUAUUUUUUAGUGGACACAACAUCUUUGUUUGUAUGUGGUGCUGAGGAUCGAACCCGGGCCGCACGCAUGCCAGGCGAGCGCGCUACCGCUUGAGCCACAUCCCCAGCCCAUAUUAAUGGUGUUAAAUUUCCAUGGUCUUUGAUUAAGCCAUCUCAACUGUGGAAUUUACCUUCCUUAUGUGGCAGGAAAAGUCCCCUGUCUUCACUUAUCCCUGAAGUAGGUGGACACUUACAACCCCUUGGGGGAAAAAGGAAACUGUGGACUCUGACCUUUUGCAACUUCCUUAAUCUGACAAAGUUCCCCUGUCUGCCAAAAGUAAGCCUGCCAAAAAUAUCUGACAAACUCUUCCCAUGAUGAGGCCCCAAUAAACCCUAUAAAACUCAGACCCUUGUUGUAGCCAGUCACCAUUUUCCUCUUGAAAACGUGCCCCUCCGCUACUUAAUAAAGAAUUGCUAGUCCAUUGAGGUCUGUCUUUGUUUCUUUUCCUUUUUGCUUUCUCUUUCAUUUGCUUUCAGUUCCAUCCUGAUAAGGGCAGAGAAGGCCACUUCCCUAGCUAACUCAGAGUCUUCAAGCCCCCUAUACCUCAGGGAUUGUUUUAUAAUGUAGCUUUUUAAAAAUAAUUAUUUAGGUAUGGCAAGCCCAGGAGAUCAGAAGACCUCUGCUGUGGAGAAGAGUUUGCUACUCACAGUUGAGAGAAUCUUCAAGCCACACAAGUCCACAUAGGGAAGCACUAGUUUAGGUCAGGAGGCAGAGAGAACAGGAGAUAAGGACAUUAUUAUGUUGAGUUCAUCAGGAAGGGACUGAAAUCAAAGUAUACAAGUUUAGGGCUGGCUACAUUUAAUUUCUUUUGGCUAUGGGGUGGGGAGCUGUCAUGAUUUUUCUGUUUCAGUCACUAGGGUGAUUAGGACAGGAAAUUAUUGGCCUGCAGUUUAAAAGCUCAAAACCAUAUAUAUGCUUGAGGGAAGGCCUGGAUGUGUUGGUUUAUAUAUGAAAGGCACACUCCCAGGUGAGUUAUGUUCUAGCUCUAGGAAUUAGCUAACUCAGAAGGGCUUUCCUUCUCUUGUAAGCAAGGACUCAGAUGCCAUAUCAUCAAGUAUGCAGUAAAUAAGGAGAAAUAGUUAAUACAUCCAGCCAUCCCUUCAGUCAAACAGGAAAAUCUGCCUCAUGAUUGAGAUGGACCAUCCACAGAGUCACCACAAGUGUUGAUAUGGGGCAGUGCUCAGGUACAUACUCCUGAAGAGACCUUCAGACCUCCCCACUCAUCCCUGUCUGGGAGAAAUUCCCCUUUCUCUCUCUUAUCUGUGUCUUCUGAGGCCCUACCCCUCUCCACCAUAUACCAGUAGCUCAUUAUUUCCUUUAAAUUCAUGUUUCUUUCAAGGGUGGAAGAAACAUUGCCUUCAGACAGCUUCUGUCUCCAGCCCUGCAAUAAACCUCCACUGAAGAAAAGGGAAGGGGCACCAUGCUUGGUUCUCUGCUGCAGGGAAAGCAAACACAGGGGGAACAGAGAUUAACCUCUUCUACAGUGUGAGUCCUGACACAUUUGCUGCAGACAUGCCACCAGCAACUCAAGGUGCCCAGGCUGGCAGGUUCUCUCCCUGAAUCUGGUAGUAGGCCUCUACCAGAGAUGAACAACCUCUUUGUCAUCUACCUCCGUUGUUAGGAGUAUAUUCUUUGUAUUCACACACAUCCCUAAAGAGGGUGCUACCUGUCACGAGGAUUAAAUGCAUCCAUAUACCCUAAGAGUGUAGCAUUGGGCUCAGUUAAAAAUCUGGUCCUAAGCUCUAGCUUAUUUUCUCUCUAGAGCUAGAAACUCAUAUGGCUCCUUGAGUCCCAUCAUGCAAAUCCUCUUAACCAAGUGGCAGGUCUCAAUCACAUUGGGAUGCCCUUCCCAAUCCUCCCCUGUUGGUAAAGCUAAUACUUCUUUGUUUAAGGCUAUUUAAUAAAUGACAUCAUAACAAUAUGGGCCUUAGAGAAUUGAUAUACCCAUUUGCCACCAAUAGUGUAUCCAUUGCCUCUUUAUUCCACCAAGAAAAAGUGCUACCAGCUUUUGAUUUUUGUGCCAAUCCGAUCUGCUUGUUUUCCCCUGUCCUGCCAGAUUGCAAGAGUGCUCUCAGAAGGUUAAUAAACUUGCAUAUUCACAGGCUUUAUCCACUAUAGUUGCCAGAUUUAGCACAUAAAAAUAAAAGAUACCUAGUUGAAUUUGAAUUUCAGAUAAAAUUACAUUACAUUCCACAUUCACUAAAAUUAUUCCUUCUUUAUCCAGAAUUCAUAUUGUGUUUCCUCUUUUUCAUCAGGCAACCCUCCAUAGGGAGAGCUCUUUGUCUAACCAAUGUGCUCCAUGCAACCAAUAGCCCUAGAUGGAUUCAAAGCAGAUGCCAGGACCAGCCAUCAUCCACAUCAGGGAGCUCUCUGGAUGUAACAGAUGAGUGGAGCCUCCAGAUGCCAGCAGCACUAGAUGACAGACACCACAUGUAGCAGAAAAUGCCCAGUUGAGCCCAGCCACCAGAAACAAGCCACUUAUAAGGAGAAAGAGGUGAAUUAGCUCACAGUUUUGGAAGUUGAAUGCACAACACUUGUAGAUUAGAACUGGUGAAGGUCCCAUGGCAGAUGGCAGUGGCAGGAGCAUAUGCAGGAGCAAGAUUACACCUGGAACAAGGAAGCAGAGAGAGCUGCAUGGGCCAGGCCAGCAAUCCUCUCCUAAGAACUCAAGGACUCGCACCUCUGAGAAGACACAGUUAACCAUGGCAGUUGGUGGAAGGCUCAGACUUGACACAGGAGAGUAUUUAGUGGCCCCUUAAAGACCUGAGCCUUUAAAAGCAACACCAUAGGAAUAGUUAGGGAAUCGGCAGACACAGAAAGAGAAGAGUUGUGGGCCUGCCACCCCUGAAGAGCAGAACAGAAACGUGCUCUUAAAGGGGCUGCUUACUAACAAUGUUGCAGGGAUGGGGCCUCUGGGAAAGCAAGGCAGUUCAAAGACCCCCCCCCACUAAACCCAAUACUUGCAUAAAAGCCAGAAAUAUUUCAGACAUGUCCCUCAUAUUAACAGGCAUCAGUUUAUUAGAAUAGGUGGGAAAGGGGAUAAGGGAGCGAGCAGGUCCUCUCGGAGAAUAAAUGGAUAUCAUGCCUCUCUUGCACUCCAGUUUUAUUGAGGGAUCCCAGAGAAGUUUCCAGAGAGUCCCACCAAGGUUCACCUUUUGACUUUUGACUGACAGUAGAAUAAUAUCAGACUUUCAAGUCCCUGUUGCCAUGACAACAAGAGGUCAUUUUGGCCCAUGCUGCCUGGUUCCAACUGGAUUCAUCUUAUCUCCCUGAGUUCCAGAAUCUGGUGUUAUAAAGAUCACAGAAGUCUCCCCCUUCAGGUUAGCCUGCAUUCUUCUCAUGGACAUCAUUUCAGACCUGCAUUUCUUCUGCAGAUAAUAAGUAGUUUGCUAAGGAAUGUGACAUAUCCUGUCCACUUAAGCCAGGCAGGGCUACAGGUAAAUUGCUUCUUGGAAAAUAAAGCAUGUGGGGGUCAGCACAUUAGACCCAUUUUAUAGAAUUAGUCUCUUAACCUCAUGUUCCCAGCACACACAUCUGUCUGUCCCUAUCAUCAAGAGACUUAAAGGGAUGGCCUGGAUUGUGGGCUCCCUGUUUCUCUUUACAGUCUCAGCCAUCAUGUGAGUCAUUCUUGCCAUACAACAGGAGUGGGUGUGUACAGAGGUUAGAUGUGUUUUUGUCAUGGAUGCUCCUCCACGUGGAAGAAAAUAUCAGGAAUGGAGGAUAAGAAUUCCCCAGAAUAAACUAUUGUAUGGUUGAUUUGACUAGGAUUCUGCCCGAUAAAUGCAUAUAUCAUUAUAGAUCUGCAUCCCAGAUAUAACUCAAAUGUCAUUUUUGGUGUUCCUAGUUCAUUUAGACCCAUGACUAUGGACAGCCUCUGAGUUUCUGCCACAGAUGGGCAAACUAGAUAGGAUGGUAUGUGAGUUUUACAUGUUCCUCUCAGAAGGCUAGCUCAAUUGUAAGAGCACUAGGAAACAUCCAUCCCUGUUUGUGUGUACUGAUGAUACUCGUCUAAGAUAAUUUUUAAAGCCAGUACAAUUCCACAAUUCUCUAAUUAUUAUGUUUUCUCAGGAGUCCUAAAUUGUGAAGGGAAGGACAAGGGAACAGAAGGAAGACUGACUGGAAGGAAGACAAGGAAACAGAACGAAGACUGCUCUGUUUCCAGAGCAGCGUCCCGGAUCCAGGUGUUUGGACUCAGCGGAGGGUGUGGGUGCCCUGCGGUGGUGGGUGAUCCUCCCUGGGGUGUGGGAGAUAAAGGGAUCCCAGACCCAAGUCGCCUCGUUCCUGCUCUGGGACUCGGAGCCCGGCUGACUUGAGAGGGAGAGAGAUGUGGGACUCUCCUGGCCAAAGGCAGCAUGACAUAAGGGCCUGUGUGAUAAUUGAGGGAUCUUAAAUGUCUGUAUGAAUUUAGGCCACUUCUUAUUCCUUUUUCAAAUUUGUACUUAGAGUGGGCCAGGGUGUCCUGUACCUCCUUAAGGAGUUGAACUCCUCAGAAAGAGUGGGCAGAGUUUUUCCCAUUGCCUGAGACUGAGUCUGAGCCUAGUUCCUCUAAUUAUUACAGUUUCUCAGGAGGCGACCUGAAGAGUGAAGGUGUUUUGCUUUUAGAUAAGGGUGAGGGGACAAAGAGGAGGCCUGCCUAGAAGAAUUUCUGAUGCGCAGGACCCUCCUGCGCAGGUUCUGUGCACUGUGGUUGCCAUAGAAACGUGACGUCAUUGUGGCGACAGUGACGACAUUCUGAAGGAGACGGAGUUGCUUUCUUG